RNAcentral lists this long non-coding RNA (637 nucleotides) under Mus pahari (shrew mouse). RNAcentral describes it as "predicted gene, 16833 (MGP_PahariEiJ_G0002257.1)". The record is from RNAcentral. Lineage: Eukaryota; Metazoa; Chordata; Mammalia; Rodentia; Muridae.
AGAAGGGCAACUGGAGAGUCAGGGCUCCCUGGUGAGACUGGGAAAGCACUAAGAAAACGUCAAAACCUUCAAACAAGAUAGUGGGGUCCUGGCAGCUUAAGAGGGAGGGCAUCGAGCAGCUGUGGCCUGGCCUGGAGGACCAGCCACAGGGAAGACGGUAUUGGUUCCACAGCGUGAGCCCAAGUGGUCAGGCUUGCAUGGCAUGCAGGGUUACCCACAGAGCCAACUCACUAGUCCUGGGAAUUCUUUUAACCAAUGUCCUACCACAGGAUUUGCUUCCUGCUAAUCGUUUCUCCCCGCUGUUCCAGAGACUGAGAAGUGGCUAAGGAGUUACAGAGGCAUCAAACUAUCUCAAGAAACAAAGCAACAAUGGAAAAAGUCAUCCAUGGAAGCCCUGUGAGCAUCCAUGGAAGCCCUGUGAGAAAGAUACUGGAGAGAUGGCUCAGUGGUUAAGAGCAUGUGUUGCUCUUGCAGAGGAUCUGGAUUUUGUUCCUAGCAUCCACGUGGAGCAGCACACAGUUCAAGGGAUAUGCUGCUCUCUUCUGGCCUCUAAGGGUACCCAUGCAUGUGUACCUGUGUGCACACACACAUAUACAUAAUGCAACAAAUAUUUUUUAAUAAAAGAAUCUUUGUGGAG